Molecule: ribosomal RNA, 909 nt
Filed under: Lactarius crassus
Lineage: Eukaryota; Fungi; Basidiomycota; Agaricomycetes; Russulales; Russulaceae
Description: LSU rRNA
Rfam family: Eukaryotic large subunit ribosomal RNA
Source: RNAcentral
GGAAAAAGAACUAACAAGGAUUCCCCUAGUAAACUGCGAGUGAAGCGGGAAAAGCUCAAAUUUAAAAUCUGGCGGUCUUUGGCCGUCCGAGUUGUAAUUUAGAGAAGCGUCUUCCGCGCCGGACCGUGCACAAGUCUCCUGGAAUGGAGCGUCAUAGAGGGUGAGAAUCCCGUCUUUGGCACGGAUGCCUGGUGCUUCUGUGAUGCGCUCUCGAAGAGUCGAGUUGUUUGGGAAUGCAGCUCAAAAUGGGUGGUGAACUCCAUCUAAAGCUAAAUAUUGGCGAGAGACCGAUAGCGAACAAGUACCGUGAGGGAAAGAUGAAAAGCACUUUGGAAAGAGAGUGAAACAGUACGUGAAAUUGUUGAAAGGGAAACGCUUGAAGUCAGUCGCGUCGACCGAGACUCAGCCUUGCCUCGGCUUGGUGUACUUCUCGGCCCGACGGGUCAGCGUCAAUUUUGCUCCUCGGAUAAUGGCAAGGGAAAGGUGGCACCUUUAUGGGUGUGUUAUAGUCUCCUGUCGCAUGCGAGGGGUGGGAUUGAGGAACUCAGCGCGCACCUUGGUGUCGGGGCUUCGGCCCACGUCACGCGCUUAGGAUGCUGGCGUAAUGGCUUUAAACGACCCGUCUUGAAACACGGACCAAGGAGUCCAACACGCCCGCGAGUGUUCGGGUGGAAAACCCGUGCGCGUAAUGAAAGUGAAAGUUGGGACCUCUGUCGUGGAGGGCACCGACGCCCGGACCAGACCUUCUGUGACGGAUCUGCGGUAGAGCGUGUGUGUUGGGACCCGAAAGAUGGUGAACUAUGCCUGAAUAGGGUGAAGCCAGAGGAAACUCUGGUGGAGGCUCGUAGCGAUUCUGACGUGCAAAUCGAUCGUCAAAUUUGGGUAUAGGGGCGAAAGACUAAUCGAACC